GGAAAGUUUUAUUCUUGCUUAAUUAUUUAUUAUAAAUUUACUAUAUAUGUAAGUUUUUGCAUAUAGUUGUUAUAAUUUUCUUAAUGAAGUUUUAACAUAUUUAUUGCAGUAUUGAAUAUUAUAAAUUUAUGAAAUUUUGAUUUAGUAAUUUUUAUUAAGUGUUGAUUAAAUAUGUGCCAGCAAUCGCGGUUAUACAUAAAAUAUAAGUAAAUAAUGUCAGUUAAAAUAGUUAAUUUGUUAUUAUGUAAAAUUUAUUUUGAUUAUUAUUGGGUGAAAUAUUUAAUAUUUAAUUUGAAUUUAAUUAAUUGUUUAAUGAAGCUGUGAAAUCUAAUUUAUAUAAACUAGGAUUAGAUACCCUAUUAUUUUAGAUGUAAAUUAUUUAAACUUGAGUAGUAUUAGUUAAGAUCUUGAAACUUAAAGAAUUUGGCGGUAUUUUAGUCUAUUUAGAGGAAUCUGUCCCAUAAUCGAUAAUCCGCGUUGGACCUUACUUAAUUUAUUAAAUAUGUAUACCGCCGUUGUUGAAAAUCUUUUUAGGGCUUAAUUUUUUAAAAAUUUAUUAAAUAAUCUUUCAGGUCAAGGUGCAGUUUAUAUUUAAGUGGAGAUGGAUUACAAUAUUUUAUAGUAUAUGGAUUAUUAUUUGAAAAUUAAUAAUAUAAAGGUGGAUUUAAUAGUAAUUUUAUGAAGAUUGUUAAUGUGAUUUAUAGCUCUAAAAUAUGCACACAUCGCCCGUCGCUCUCGUUAUGUUUAAGAUGAGAUAAGUCGUAACAUAGUAGUUGUACCGGAAGGUGUAACUAGAAUGAAU
RNAcentral lists this non-coding RNA (802 nucleotides) under Jacobsonina aliena. Lineage: Eukaryota; Metazoa; Arthropoda; Insecta; Blattodea; Blattellidae. The record is from RNAcentral.